This 82-nucleotide transfer RNA is filed under the name Planctomyces sp. SH-PL62. It matches the Rfam family "tRNA". Rfam says of the family: Transfer RNA (tRNA) molecules are approximately 80 nucleotides in length. RNAcentral also lists the same sequence under 2 other names. The record is from Rfam by way of RNAcentral. Lineage: Bacteria; Pseudomonadati; Planctomycetota; Planctomycetia; Planctomycetales; Planctomycetaceae.
GGGUGGAUACCCAAGUGGCUAAAGGGGCCAGACUGUAAAUCUGGUGGUUCUACCUUCGCAGGUUCGAAUCCUGCUCCACCCA